RNAcentral lists this unclassified non-coding RNA (390 nucleotides) under uncultured Actinomycetes bacterium. Its description in RNAcentral is "uncultured actinobacterium contains 16S-23S intergenic spacer region". Lineage: Bacteria; Bacillati; Actinomycetota; Actinomycetes. The record is from RNAcentral.
UCCGAGUUGACCCCGGCAGUCUCCUGUGAGUCCCCAUCACCCCGAAGGGCAUGCUGGCAACACAGAACAAGGGUUGCGCUCGUUGCGGGACUUAACCCAACAUCUCACGACACGAGCUGACGACGGCCAUGCAGCACCUGUGCGAGCUCCCCUUGCGGGGUCGUCCCACUUUCAUGGUUCUACCACUUGCAUGUCAAGGCCAGGUAAGGUUCUUCGCGUUGCAUCGAAUUAAUCCGCAUGCUCCGCCGCUUGUGCGGGCCCCCGUCAAUUCCUUUGAGUUUUAGCCUUGCGGCCGUACUCCCCAGGCGGGGCGCUUAAUGCGUUAGCUACGGCACAGAAUCAACCAACGUGACCCCACACCUAGCGCCCACCGUUUACAGCAUGGACUAC